Molecule: ribosomal RNA, 497 nt
Filed under: uncultured bacterium
Lineage: Bacteria
Description: partial 16S ribosomal RNA
Rfam family: Bacterial small subunit ribosomal RNA
Source: RNAcentral
GAUGAACGCUGGCGGCGUGCCUAAUACAUGCAAGUCGAGCGAACAGACGAGGAGCUUGCUCCUCUGACGUUAGCGGCGGACGGGUGAGUAACACGUGGAUAACCUACCUAUAAGACUGGGAUAACUUCGGGAAACCGGAGCUAAUACCGGAUAAUAUAUUGAACCGCAUGGUUCAAUAGUGAAAGACGGUUUUGCUGUCACUUAUAGAUGGAUCCGCGCCGCAUUAGCUAGUUGGUAAGGUAACGGCUUACCAAGGCAACGAUGCGUAGCCGACCUGAGAGGGUGAUCGGCCACACUGGAACGGAGACACGGUCCAGACUCCUAAGGGAGGCAGCAGUAGGGAAUCUUCCGCAAUGGGCGAAAGCCUGACGGAGCAACGCCGAGUGAGUGAUGAAGGUCUUCGGAGCGUAAAACUCUGUUAUGAGGGAAGAACAAAUGUGUAAGUAACUAUGCACGUCUUGACGGUACCUAAUCAGAAAGCCACGGCUAACUACGUG